AAGGUCUUCUCAUGACCAAAAUGUCCAUUCUUAUUAUGAGCCUCAAGAGCCAAUGAUUGAGCCAGUUCACUAGGCACUACGAUUUGGUAACGAAUGUCGAUUUCAGAAGGUAGAUAUACCUUUCGGCAUAGCACUCCAUUUUUCAUCUCUAACUUUUCCCACUGACUCAGGACUGAUAGCAUUUCACAUGUCAGUCGUUCUCUUUCCUCUUUACAGGGCUUCUUGCCUUUCUCAACACACUUGAUCAUUUU
This is a long non-coding RNA of Bufo bufo (common toad), 251 nucleotides long. RefSeq lists it as uncharacterized. NCBI's taxonomy places the organism in Eukaryota, Metazoa, Chordata, Amphibia, Anura, Bufonidae. The record is from RefSeq and is a predicted model, not a curated record. The transcript has 3 exons.